RNAcentral lists this ribosomal RNA (440 nucleotides) under uncultured bacterium. RNAcentral describes it as "partial 16S ribosomal RNA". It matches the Rfam family "Bacterial small subunit ribosomal RNA", at positions 338 to 795 of the family's 1533-position model. The record is from RNAcentral.
CCUACGGGAGGCAGCAGUGGGGAAUAUUGCACAAUGGGGGAAACCCUGAUGCAGCGACGCCGCGUGAGUGAAGAAGUAAUUCGGUAUGUAAAGCUCUAUCAGCAGGGAAGAAAAUGACGGUACCUGAGUAAGAAGCCCCGGCUAACUACGUGCCAGCAGCCGCGGUAAUACGUAGGGGGCAAGCGUUAUCCGGAUUUACUGGGUGUAAAGGGAGCGUAGACGGCAGUGCAAGUCUGGAGUGAAAGGCGGGGGCUCAACCCCCGGACGGCUCUGGAAACUGUACGGCUGGAGUGCAGGAGAGGUAAGUGGAAUUCCUGGUGUAGCGGUGAAAUGCGUAGAUAUUAGGAGGAACACCAGUGGCGAAGGCGGCUUACUGGACUGUAACUGACGUUGAGGCUCGAAAGCGUGGGGAGCAAACAGGAUUAGAUACCCCAGUAGUC